RNAcentral lists this ribosomal RNA (852 nucleotides) under Pseudomonas sp. RNAcentral's name for it is "bacterial SSU rRNA". It matches the Rfam family "Bacterial small subunit ribosomal RNA", at positions 24 to 872 of the family's 1533-position model. Lineage: Bacteria; Pseudomonadati; Pseudomonadota; Gammaproteobacteria; Pseudomonadales; Pseudomonadaceae. The record is from RNAcentral.
UCAGAUUGAACGCUGGCGGCAGGCCUAACACAUGCAAGUCGAGCGGUAGAGAGAAGCUUGCUUCUCUUGAGAGCGGCGGACGGGUGAGUAAUGCCUAGGAAUCUGCCUGGUAGUGGGGGAUAACGUUCGGAAACGGACGCUAAUACCGCAUACGUCCUACGGGAGAAAGCAGGGGACCUUCGGGCCUUGCGCUAUCAGAUGAGCCUAGGUCGGAUUAGCUAGUUGGUGGGGUAAUGGCUCACCAAGGCGACGAUCCGUAACUGGUCUGAGAGGAUGAUCAGUCACACUGGAACUGAGACACGGUCCAGACUCCUACGGGAGGCAGCAGUGGGGAAUAUUGGACAAUGGGCGAAAGCCUGAUCCAGCCAUGCCGCGUGUGUGAAGAAGGUCUUCGGAUUGUAAAGCACUUUAAGUUGGGAGGAAGGGUUGUAGAUUAAUACUCUGCAAUUUUGACGUUACCGACAGAAUAAGCACCGGCUAACUCUGUGCCAGCAGCCGCGGUAAUACAGAGGGUGCAAGCGUUAAUCGGAAUUACUGGGCGUAAAGCGCGCGUAGGUGGUUAGUUAAGUUGGAUGUGAAAUCCCCGGGCUCAACCUGGGAACUGCAUUCAAAACUGACUGACUAGAGUAUGGUAGAGGGUGGUGGAAUUUCCUGUGUAGCGGUGAAAUGCGUAGAUAUAGGAAGGAACACCAGUGGCGAAGGCGACCACCUGGACUGAUACUGACACUGAGGUGCGAAAGCGUGGGGAGCAAACAGGAUUAGAUACCCUGGUAGUCCACGCCGUAAACGAUGUCAACUAGCCGUUGGGAGCCUUGAGCUCUUAGUGGCGCAGCUAACGCAUUAAGUGACCGC